UACGGGGGGAGCAAGCGUUGCUCGGAAUUACUGGGCGUAAAGCGCGUGUAGGUGGAUUGGUGUGUCAGAUGUGAAAUCCCUGGGCUCAACCCAGGAACUGCACCUGAAACUACCAGUCUUGAGUGGUGGAGAGGGAAGUGGAAUUCCUGGUGUAGAGGUGAAAUUCGUAGAUAUCAGGAGGAACACCAGUGGCGAAGGCGGCUUCCUGGACACCAACUGACGCUGAGACGCGAAAGCGUGGGGAGCAAACAGG
This 253-nucleotide ribosomal RNA is filed under the name uncultured bacterium. RNAcentral's name for it is "partial 16S ribosomal RNA". It matches the Rfam family "Bacterial small subunit ribosomal RNA", at positions 524 to 776 of the family's 1533-position model. The record is from RNAcentral.